This 773-nucleotide ribosomal RNA is filed under the name uncultured Neocallimastigales. Its description in RNAcentral is "partial large subunit ribosomal RNA". It matches the Rfam family "Eukaryotic large subunit ribosomal RNA", at positions 23 to 639 of the family's 3401-position model. Lineage: Eukaryota; Fungi; Neocallimastigomycota; Neocallimastigomycetes; Neocallimastigales. The record is from RNAcentral.
AGAGAGAGACAUGCGCGCAUAUCAAUAAGCGGAGGAAAAGAAACUAACUAGGAUUCCCUCAGUAACGGCGAGUGAAGCGGGAAGAGCUCAAAUUUGAAAUCUUCAAGGUUCUACCUUGACGAAUUGUAGUUUAAAGAAGUGUUUUCUGUUGGAGUUUUGGUAAAAGUUCUUUGGAAUAGGACAUCAUAGAGGGUGAGAAUCCCGUAUUUGACCAUUAUUUCAGCUUUGUGAUACACUUUCAAAGAGUCGGAUUGUUUGGGAAUGCAGUCCAAAAUGGGUGGUAAAUUUCAUCUAAAGCUAAAUAUUGGCGAGAGACCGAUAGCGAACAAGUACCGUGAGGGAAAGAUGAAAAGAACUUUGAAAAGAGAGUUAAACAGUACGUGAAAUUGUCAAAAGGGAAGCGUUUGACACCAGUGUUGUUUUCUCGAAAAUCAAUUAAAAAAGGCAGGAUUUUGUGUUGUAUUGACUUUAUCAGCUUUCUGCACUCUUUUCUUGUCUUUUUUAAUGCACUUUUCGUUUAACAAGUCAACAUCAAUUUCUUUUGUUGUAAAAGGGUCACUGGAAGGUGGCUUUCUUUUCGGAGAAAGUGUUUAUAGCCUUUGGCCUCUGCAAUCGGAGAGAUUGAGGUCUGCAGCGUAGAUCCUUCGGGGUUAGAUACAUUUGUGCUAAGUUAUAGCCUUUCAUAGACAACUUGUUGACUAUGAUCAGUCAUGUAGCUUACUCGCUUAUGCUAUUUUACCUACGCUUAGGAUGUUGAUGUGAUACUGCGAGCA